This 643-nucleotide ribosomal RNA is filed under the name Ferrimonas balearica. Its description in RNAcentral is "bacterial SSU rRNA". It matches the Rfam family "Bacterial small subunit ribosomal RNA", at positions 63 to 673 of the family's 1533-position model. The record is from RNAcentral. Lineage: Bacteria; Pseudomonadati; Pseudomonadota; Gammaproteobacteria; Alteromonadales; Ferrimonadaceae.
CGAGCGGCAGCGACAACAUUGUACCCUUCGGGCGAUUUGUUGGGUCGCCGAGCGGCGGACGGGUGAGUAAUGCUUAGGAAUUUGCCCAGUCGAGGGGGACAACAGUUGGAACGACUGCUAAUACCGCAUACGCCCUACGGGGGAAUGCAGGGGUUCUUCGGACCUUGCGCGAUUGGAUAAUCCUAAAUGAGAUUAGCUAGUUGGUGAGGUAAUGGCUCACCCAGGCGACGAUCUCUAGCUGGUUUGAGAGGAUGAUCAGCCACACUGGGACUGAAACACGGCCCAGACUCCUACGGGAGGCAAUAGUGGGGAAUAUUGCACCAUGGGCGAAACCCUGAUGCAGCCUUGCCGCGUGUGUGAAGAAGGCCUUCGGUUUGUAAAGCACUUUCAGCGAGGAGGAAAGGUUCGUGGUUAAUACCCGUUAGCUGUGAAGUUACUCGCAGAAAAAAGCCCCGGCUAACUCCGUGCCCAACAGCCGCGGUUAAUACGGAUGGUGCGAGCGUUAAUCGGAAUUACUGGGCGUAGAGCGCAUGCAGGCGCGCCUAGUCAGUCAGAUGUGAAAGCCCCGGGGCUUUACCCUGGGAAUUGCAUUUUGAUACUGCUUGGUCUAGAGUCCUUGGAGAUGGGGGGGUAGAAAUCUUCA